UUACAGAACGCCCGGGCUUCGGCCUGGUUAUUCAUAACCCUUUGUUGUCCGACUCUGUUGCCUCCGGGGCGACCCUGCCUUCGGGCGGGGGCUCCGGGUGGACACUUCAAACUCUUGCGUAACUUUGCAGUCUGAGUAAACUUAAUUAAUAAAUUAAAACUUUUAACAACGGAUCUCUUGGUUCUGGCAUCGAUGAAGAACGCAGCGAAAUGCGAUAAGUAAUGUGAAUUGCAGAAUUCAGUGAAUCAUCGAAUCUUUGAACGCACAUUGCGCCCCCUGGUAUUCCGGGGGGCAUGCCUGUUCGAGCGUCAUUUCACCACUCAAGCCUCGCUUGGUAUUGGGCAACGCGGUCCGCCGCGUGCCUCAAAUCGUCCGGCUGGGUCUUCUGUCCCCUAAGCGUUGUGGAAACUAUUCGCUAAAGGGUGUUCGGGAGGCUACGCCGUAAAACAACCCCAUUUCUAAGGUUGACCUCGGAUCAGGUAGGGAUACCCGCUGAACUUAAGCAUAU
RNAcentral lists this ribosomal RNA (508 nucleotides) under uncultured fungus. RNAcentral's name for it is "eukaryotic LSU rRNA". The stretch from base 158 to 311 matches the Rfam family "5.8S ribosomal RNA". Lineage: Eukaryota; Fungi. The record is from RNAcentral.